This 253-nucleotide ribosomal RNA is filed under the name uncultured bacterium. Its description in RNAcentral is "partial 16S ribosomal RNA". It matches the Rfam family "Bacterial small subunit ribosomal RNA", at positions 524 to 776 of the family's 1533-position model. The record is from RNAcentral.
GACGAAGGAUGCAAGCGUUAUCCGGAUUCAUUGGGUUUAAAGGGAGCGUAGGUGGCCUUAUAAGUCAGUGGUGAAAUCUCUCGGCUUAACCGAGAAAUUGCCAUUGAUACUGUAGGGCUUGAGUACAGAUGCCGUUGGCGGAAUAUGACAUGUAGUGGUGAAAUACAUAGAGAUGUCAUAGAACACCGAUUGCGAAGGCAGCUGACGAAACUGUAACUGACACUGAGGCUCGAAAGUGUGGGGAUCAAACAGG